This 250-nucleotide ribosomal RNA is filed under the name uncultured prokaryote. RNAcentral describes it as "partial 16S ribosomal RNA". It matches the Rfam family "Bacterial small subunit ribosomal RNA", at positions 524 to 773 of the family's 1533-position model. The record is from RNAcentral.
UACAGAGGGUGCAAGCGUUGUUCGGAAUUACUGGGCGUAAAGGGCGUGUAGGCGGUUCAAUAAGCCAGAUGUUAAAGACCCGGGCUUAACCCGGGGGCUGCGUUUGAAACUGUUUGACUAGGGAGCAGGAGGGGAGAAUGGAAUUUCCGGUGUAGAGGUAAAAUUCAUAGAUAUCGGAAGGAACACCAGAGGCGAAGGCGAUUCUCUGGACUGCCACUGACGCUGAGGCGCGAAAGCGUGGGGAGCAAAC